CAGUCGCCGCGGUAAUACGUAGGGUGCAAGCGUUAAUCGGAAUUACUGGGCGUAAAGCGUGCGCAGGCGGUUCGUUAGGACAGAUGUGAAAUCCCCGGGCUUAACCUGGGAACUGCAUUUGUGACUGGCGAGCUAGAGUAUGGCAGAGGGGGGUAGAAUUCCACGUGUAGCAGUGAAAUGCGUAGAGAUGUGGAGGAAUACCGAUGGCGAAGGCAUCCCCCUGGGCCAAUACUGACGCUCAUGCACGAAAGCGUGGGGAGCAGACAGGAUUAGAUACCCCGGUAGUCCCUGUCUCUUAUAC
This 301-nucleotide ribosomal RNA is filed under the name uncultured bacterium. RNAcentral's name for it is "partial 16S ribosomal RNA". It matches the Rfam family "Bacterial small subunit ribosomal RNA", at positions 509 to 807 of the family's 1533-position model. The record is from RNAcentral.